GAUGAACGCUGGCGGCGUGCCUAAUACAUGCAAGUCGAGCGAACGGACGAGAAGCUUGCUUCUCUGAUGUUAGCGGCGGACGGGUGAGUAACACGUGGAUAACCUACCUAUAAGACUGGGAUAACUUCGGGAAACCGGAGCUAAUACCGGAUAAUAUUUUGAACCGCAUGGUUCAAAAGUGAAAGACGGUCUUGCUGUCACUUAUGGAUGGAUCCGCGCUGCAUUAGCUAGUUGGUAAGGUAACGGCUUACCAAGGCAACGAUGCGUAGCCGACCUGAGAGGGUGAUCGGCCACACUGGAACUGAGACACGGUCCAGACUCCUACGGGAGGCAGCAGUAGGGAAUCUUCCGCAAUGGGCGAAAGCCUGACGGAGCAACGCCGCGUGAGUGAUGAAGGUCUUCGGAUCGUAAAACUCUGUUAUUAGGGAAGAACAUAUGUGUAAGUAACUAUGCACAUCUUGACGGUACCUAAUCAGAGAGCCACGGCUAACUACGUG
RNAcentral lists this ribosomal RNA (497 nucleotides) under uncultured bacterium. Its description in RNAcentral is "partial 16S ribosomal RNA". It matches the Rfam family "Bacterial small subunit ribosomal RNA", at positions 28 to 507 of the family's 1533-position model. The record is from RNAcentral.